This 460-nucleotide ribosomal RNA is filed under the name uncultured bacterium. RNAcentral's name for it is "partial 16S ribosomal RNA". It matches the Rfam family "Bacterial small subunit ribosomal RNA", at positions 338 to 795 of the family's 1533-position model. The record is from RNAcentral.
CCUACGUGAGGCAGCAGUGAGGAAUAUUGGUCAAUGGGCUUACGCCUGAACCAGCCAAGUCGCGUGAGGGAAGACUGCCCUAUGGGUUGUAAACCUCUUUUGUCAGGGAGCAACGCCGGCUACGUGUAGCCGGACUGAGAGUACCUGAAGAAAAAGAAUCGGCUAACUCCGUGCCAGCAGCCGCGGUAAUACGGAGGAUGCGAGCGUUAUCCGGAUUUAUUGGGUUUAAAGGGUGCGUAGGCGGAAUGCCAAGUCAGCGGUAAAAUCGCGGGGCUCAACCUCGCUCCGCCGUUGAAACUGGCGUUCUUGAGUGGGCGAGAAGUAUGCGGAAUGCGUGGUGUAGCGGUGAAAUGCAUAGAUAUCACGCAGAACUCCGAUUGCGAAGGCAGCAUACCGGCGCCCAACUGACGCUGAAGCACGAAAGCGUGGGUAUCGAACAGGAGUAGAUACCCGGGUAGUC